RNAcentral lists this ribosomal RNA (373 nucleotides) under uncultured organism. RNAcentral describes it as "partial 16S ribosomal RNA". It matches the Rfam family "Bacterial small subunit ribosomal RNA", at positions 527 to 896 of the family's 1533-position model. The record is from RNAcentral.
GUAGGUGGCAAGCGUUGUCCGGAAUUAUUGGGCGUAAAGCGCGCGCAGGCGGUUCUUUAAGUCUGAUGUGAAAGCCCACGGCUCAACCGUGGAGGGUCAUUGGAAACUGGAGAACUUAAGUACAGAAGAGGAAAGCGGAAUUCCACGUGUAGCGGUGAAAUGCGUAGAGAUGUGGAGGAACACCAGUGGCGAAGGCGGCUUUCUGGUCUGUAACUGACGCUGAGGCGCGAAAGCGUGGGGAGCAAACAGGGAUUAGAUACCCUGGAAGUCCACGCCGUAAACGAUGAGUGCUAAGUGUUAGGGGGUUUCCGCCCCCUUAGUGCUGCAGCUAACGCAUUAAGCACUCCGCCUGGGGAGUACGGCCGCAAGGCUG